This is a long non-coding RNA of Myotis daubentonii (Daubenton's bat), 892 nucleotides long. RefSeq lists it as uncharacterized. NCBI's taxonomy places the organism in Eukaryota, Metazoa, Chordata, Mammalia, Chiroptera, Vespertilionidae. The record is from RefSeq and is a predicted model, not a curated record. The transcript is spliced from 3 exons.
AGACGCCAUUCGCCAGCUAAAGUCCUGGGCGCCCAUUGGUCGGAAUUAGAGAUGGGCGGGGAUUCUUGGCUUCUCAUUGGCUGCGCGGCACGCCAGGCUGUAGCUGCAACCGCCCCUUUGGGAGCCUGGCGGAACUAAGUGCCGAGGGAUGCCAGCGGGAGAGCAGGCAGCCACUGUGCCUCUUUGGGCGUAUCACCGAGGCGUUCACUGGUUCAGAGGCCCUGACCAGAGGCGAGGGCACAGCUUCCGCCUCCAUUGGUAUGCCCUCGGAAUUAUUCCCUGCCCCCAGCCCGCCUUAGUUUUUGUCUUUUUUAAAUAAGGCCUUUGGAGAGGGCCCCAGUCUCCUACUUGUAACCUUCCUCCUUGUUGCUGGGAACAAAUGCCUAGAGACACUCUGCUCAGAGACCUUGGAGAGAGUCCCUAAGGGACUAAUACUGCGUCCAAACUAAAGCUGGCGAAUCGAAGAUAGGAAUGGAGAUGAAAGAAAGAUAGAAACACCAAUGACAGAAUCAUUGAUCAGCUGCCUCCUGCAUGCCCCCUACUGGAGACUGAGCCUGCGACCAAGGGCAUGUGCCCUGACUGGAACCGAACCAUGACUUCGCAGUUCACAGGUAGACACUCAACCACUGAGCCACACCGGCGGGUCAGCUUGUUACCCAUGACCUCCCUCCGGCCUGGGACCUCCCUGGGAAAUGGUGCAGAGUCCGCACCUCAGACCCGUGUUCUAGAAGACAAACGUGUGGAACGACCAGGCUCGGUGGUUGGCUCAGGAUCACACAGUGAAGGGCUGUGGGUUGAAGCUGAAAAUAAGCCCUAAGCUUGUCACUCAUCGCAGCCUUCCCGCAGCAGGAGGGGGCAAGCUGCCUCUGCCCUGCAGGCUGAGGAGGGGCGC